Long non-coding RNA from Melanotaenia boesemani (Boeseman's rainbowfish), 567 nucleotides. RefSeq lists it as uncharacterized. The record is from RefSeq and is a predicted model, not a curated record. Lineage: Eukaryota; Metazoa; Chordata; Actinopteri; Atheriniformes; Melanotaeniidae. The transcript has 3 exons.
UCCCUCUCAUUCAGCAGAUCCCUCUUUCCCCAGCGACGCUGCUCAGGCCGUUAGUUACAUAAGACGCAAACCGACUGCUGCCCGUCGUAAAAACUACCAACGGCUAACAGCAACAAUUUUGUCUCCUAAAUCGCACGGCUGCCUCCCAGGACGAACAAAAUUCAUCUUCCCCACUUGUCCGAGAGCAUGCAUUUCGCUGUCUACAAGUCCAAACAGGCAUCGCCGAUGCAUUCAUAUUGUUUUGGUUGAAAAAAAAAAGAAAGAAAAAAAGGAAAAAUCCCCUGCACCAUGUAGGAGAGUGCAGCCUGUUAAGAUGGUGGCUGGCUGGCUGGUUCGUCUCUUUGUGGGGUUUUUGUUUGUUGAUGAUGUCGGACGGGGUGAGUGUGUCUUGGCUGUCUCUUUUUUUCUUUGGUCUGAGAGGGAAAGAGAGAUAGUUAAAGCUUCACGGCAGCACAUAAACUAGGCUAAUACCGACUGAUUAGUGGACUAGUGUUAUCGCUUUGCUGUGACAGGACCUCUCUGCCUGUCUGUAGGCUGGGGCAUUACGUCAGAGGAGGAAGACACAGC